CAAAUUAUCCAAUUUACGUCACUUUGUUUAAUAUAAAAGCAUCAAAUCCUGAACACUAAAUAUCAGUUAUUCACAAUCGUUUAAGGAGCGAUCAGCAUUUAGCAAUUAACAUGAAGAAUAUUGUUCUUAUUUCGACUUUCGUGAUGAUGAUGGUCCUUGUCGCCCAUCUUGGCACCGUGGAAGCGGGAGGGUUUAGUUUGGGCUGCACCAUAUCCUGUGGAAUAUGGAACGCUUGCCGUGGAAAGUCCGCUUUUUCUGGAAGUCUUACGCAGUGUGGACCAGAACCUUCGGGCUGUCGCUGUACUUCUUUUUAUUGGGAGUAAUAAACACCAGCAUUUUUGCAGCAGUUAUUUAUUUGUAAUUUAAGACUAUUUAUUUUAAUAAAAAUUUUGUAAUCUAA
Long non-coding RNA from Photinus pyralis (common eastern firefly), 400 nucleotides. RefSeq lists it as uncharacterized. Lineage: Eukaryota; Metazoa; Arthropoda; Insecta; Coleoptera; Lampyridae. The record is from RefSeq and is a predicted model, not a curated record. The transcript has 2 exons.